Molecule: long non-coding RNA, 2004 nt
Organism: Engraulis encrasicolus (European anchovy)
Lineage: Eukaryota; Metazoa; Chordata; Actinopteri; Clupeiformes; Engraulidae
Exons: 7
Source: RefSeq, a predicted model, not a curated record
AAUCAGCAUGGAGUCCAGCACGCCUUUCUCCUAAACCUGCUGUUCCAGUCCUGCCGCGGAAAAAGCCUCCAUAUCCAUCUCAUCGAGCCACACUGGCCCUGCUCCAGUGAUGUUAACUGCCCUCCCCCAUCUGUGGUCUGCUCACUGUGACUUGGGCCAAAGGCAGUAAAUUGAGGCACAGUAAGCGUUGCUACCAGGGGAAAAGGACUGGAGUGAGCCCCUACGCAUAAUCAACUCCAACAACAGGUCCCGCCUGCCUAAUGGACAGCCCCAUGCCUGUGUUGGGUGGAGGUACCUCUUGCAUCUACAGAGGGGUUCCACUCUUUGUCUGGUUUCCAUAAGGCACAAUCCUAUGGGCAUUCAUACAUUUAGGAAGAGCCGAUGCUGAACGCAGCCCUGAAAUCAGCAUGGAGUCCUGCGCCACCCUGCCAUUCCAGUCCUACCCCCGAAGUACUCUUCAUACUCAUCUCCACAAGCCACGCUGACUCCACUCCAGUGAUGCCGGCUGUCCUGCUCCAGCUGUGAUCUGCUCACUGACUUCUAUCCAAGGGGAGUGAAGUAAGGCGAAGACCGCAUUGACACCAGGCAAUGAGGACUUCAAUGAGCCCUACAAGCACCGGCACCAUCAGGUCCCAGCGGCAACUCGACAGCCUGCGUUUGGAGGAAAACCUCAUCCCACUCCAGAGAGCCUCCACUCUUUGUCUGGUUUCCAUAAGGCACAACCCUAUAGGCAUUCAUAGAUUGAGUUUGGACCCGUGCCUUGGUAAGGAAAAGCCGGUGCCGAACUCCAGCACGCCACUCUCCUAAACCUGCCGUUCCAGUCCUGCCCCCGAAGUACCCUCCAUACUCAUCUCCACAAGCCACACUAACUGCACUCCAGUGAUGCCGGCUGUCCUGCUCCAGCUGUGAUCUGCUCACUGACUUCUAUCCAAGGGGAGUGAAGUAAGGCGAAGACAGCAUUGACACCAGGCAAUGAGGACUUCAAUGAGCCCUUCAAGCACCGGCACCAGCAGGUCCCAGCGGCAACUGGACAGCUCCGUGCCUGUGUUUGGAGGAAAACCUCAUCCCACUCCAGAGAGCUUCCACUCUUUGUCUGGUUUCCAUAAGGCACAACCCUAUAGGAAUUCAUAGAUUGAGUUUGGAUCCGUGCCUUGGUAAGGAAAAGCCGGUGCCGAACGCAGCCCUGAAAUCAGCAUUGACUCCAGCACGCCACUCUUCUAAACCUGCCAUUCCAGUCCUGCCCCCGAAAUACUCUCCAUGCUCAUCUCCACAAGCCACACUGACUCCACUCCAGUGAUGCCAGCUGUCCUGCCCCGGUGCCAGCUGUUCCCAGCUUUACCCCAGUGGAGCCUGUUAACUCCAGCCAUUGCAGUGUUCCCUCAUGUGUCAUCCGCUCUGGCCCUGCUCACAAACACUGCCCACCUUGAUCCUAAUUAAUUCAAUAGGUGUGAUAACCAAAAACUGUUUUUCUCUCCACAUUCUAAUUGAAAAUUAGGAUGUUAUGCCACAACCGUGUGUGAACAGUCUGAGAAUCAGCAUGAGGAAGAUGUGUUGCACGUUUUUAGAUAUAGUUCUGACACGUCUCACUGAACUGUAAAAUGGAGCUUAUGGAGGCGGCAAGGACCACACAGGAAUCCUAACACCUCAUCCACAUCCUCAUGCCUUUAAUAUAUCCCCGCCACCUGUGUUCUCCACCUUGCCUUCAAAUCACUCACUGGACUUGCUGCCUUGUAGAUUUCCAGCCACACAGUGCCUUGAGGACCCUGUGGGUUGUUGACUUUGUCGUCUUGGGUCAUAUUUUGUAGGUGUAAAGUAGGGUAGAGUAGAGUAUCAUUUAUUGAUUCCAAGGGCAAUAAAAGUGUCAAGUAGCAUACAUGCAUAAAUACUGAAGAAGACACAAAGACAUCACACAACAUUGCACAUACAUUCAUCAUACAUAAGGUCAGAUCUCUUUAUCACACACACACACACACACACACACACACACACACACACACACACACA